This 894-nucleotide long non-coding RNA is filed under the name Elaeis guineensis (African oil palm). RNAcentral describes it as "long non-coding RNA (EGUI_LNC060059)". The record is from RNAcentral. Lineage: Eukaryota; Viridiplantae; Streptophyta; Magnoliopsida; Arecales; Arecaceae.
GGACUGAGGGUCCUUUUAGGUUAGCCUCUGAAUAUUUUGUUAGGUUAGCUUUCGAUUGUCAAUCAAUCGGGGUCUUCAUAGGCAUUGGCUCACUAAAAAGAGAGCACGGCCUUUGGGGGUCCUUAUAGGUUAGCUCCCACUUCUCGAUCUGUCAAGAUCUUUUGUCCAUAUGGAUUGGAUCGACGAAUGUUGGAGGUCCUUAAAGAUUAGCCCCUACUUUCUGUUCAACUAAGGUCUUCAUGGGCCGUUGGCUAAUUGAAAAGUGAGCGGCCUUUAGGGGUCCUUAUUGAUUAGCCCCCGCUUCUUAGUUGCCAAGAUCUUGAGUUACAGAUCUAUGUACGAAAGAUAAGAAAACUUGUCAAUCUGGCUCUGGCUAGACCUUCUAAUUUCAGAUUAAGUCGAGCUUUGGAGUAAAAAAAAUAAUAGAUAAUUAGAUUGUGUUAUCCCAUUUUUUAGUUGGUUUGCUUUUAGUCAGCCUUCAUUAGUUGGCAUUCUUAAAUCACUUUAUUUUGAAUUUUGAGAGCUUGGCUUCGGAAGGUUGACCUUUGAGAGUUUGGCUUUUAGGAGUUCACCUUUUUGGGGGUCAACCUUCGGAGGUCGAUUUUUGGAUGGUCCAUAUCAAGAGCUCGGCCUUAGGCUUCAUCUUGGCAUCGAACUUUACCUUAACCUUGAUUCUUCAUCUUGAUUGUUAGCCUUUUGCUUGAUAGCCCGAUCUUAGUUUGCUCAAAUUUAUCUUUUGAUGGCUUUGGCCUUUUGGUGAUAUUGAUCUUUUGAGGCUAGUCUUCUGAUGACCUAGAUCUUUGGUUGUCUUUACCUCAUGUUGGUCUUCAUUCCAUCUUUGGGUUUGAUAUCUACUGUGGUCUUGUUUAAUUUUUGCCUCAGCACAUGUGCUUA